This 427-nucleotide ribosomal RNA is filed under the name uncultured bacterium. Its description in RNAcentral is "partial 16S ribosomal RNA". It matches the Rfam family "Bacterial small subunit ribosomal RNA", at positions 355 to 774 of the family's 1533-position model. The record is from RNAcentral.
UGGGGAAUAUUGCACAAUGGGCGCAAGCCUGAUGCAGCCAUGCCGCGUGUAUGAAGAAGGCCUUCGGGUUGUAAAGUACUUUCAGCGAGGAGGAAGGCGUUGUGGUUAAUAACCGCAACGAUUGACGUUACUCGCAGAAGAAGCACCGGCUAACUCCGUGCCAGCAGCCGCGGUAAUACGGAGGGUGCAAGCGUUAAUCGGAAUUACUGGGCGUAAAGCGCACGCAGGCGGUCUGUCAAGUCGGAUGUGAAAUCCCCGGGCUCAACCUGGGAACUGCAUCCGAAACUGGCAGGCUAGAGUCUUGUAGAGGGGGGUAGAAUUCCAGGUGUAGCGGUUAAAUGCGUAGAGAUCUGGAGGAAUACCGGUGGCGAAGGCGGCCCCCUGGACAAAGACUGACGCUCAGGUGCGAAAGCGUGGGGCUCAAACA